GGUUUAGUAUUCAAAAUGAUUUUAGAUUGCAAAUUUAAAGGUGGAAUAAAUCCCUAAACCU
This 61-nucleotide transfer RNA is filed under the name Cucujoidea sp. 39 KM-2017. RNAcentral describes it as "tRNA-Cys". Lineage: Eukaryota; Metazoa; Arthropoda; Insecta; Coleoptera. The record is from RNAcentral.